This 173-nucleotide ribosomal RNA is filed under the name uncultured bacterium. RNAcentral describes it as "partial 16S ribosomal RNA". It matches the Rfam family "Bacterial small subunit ribosomal RNA", at positions 1320 to 1500 of the family's 1533-position model. The record is from RNAcentral.
AUGAAGCUGGAUUCGCUAGUAAUCGCGCAUCAGCCACGGCGCGGUGAAUACGUUCCCGGGCCUUGUACACACCGCCCGUCAAGCCAUGGAAGCCGGGAGUGCCUGAAGUGCGUGAGCGCAAGCAGCGCCCUAAGGUAAAACCGGUGACUGGGGCUAAGUCGUAACAAGGUAUC